AGUGGCGGACGGGUGAGGAAUACAUCGGAAUCUACUCUGUCGUGGGGGAUAACGUAGGGAAACUUACGCUAAUACCGCAUACGAUUGAAUGAGCCGAUGUCGGAUUAGCUAGUUGGCGGGGUAAAGGCCCACCAAGGCGACGAUCCGUAGCUGGUCUGAGAGGAUGAUCAGCCACACUGGAACUGAGACACGGUCCAGACUCCUACGGGAGGCAGCAGUGGGGAAUAUUGGACAAUGGGCGCAAGCCUGAUCCAGCCAUACCGCGUGGGUGAAGAAGGCCUUCGGGUUGUAAAGCCCUUUUGUUGGGAAAGCGGUACCCAAAGAAUAAGCACCGGCUAACUUCGUGCCGGCAGCCGCGGUAAUACGAAGGGUGCAAGCGUUACUCGGAAUUACUGGGCGUAAAGCGUGCGUAGGUGGUCGUUUAAGUCCGUUGUGAAAGCCCUGGGCUCAACCUGGGAACUGCAGUGGAUGCUGGGCGACUAGAAUGUGGUAGAGGGUAGCGGAAUUCCUGGUGUAACAGUGAAAUGCGUAGAGAUC
This 537-nucleotide ribosomal RNA is filed under the name uncultured bacterium. RNAcentral's name for it is "bacterial SSU rRNA". It matches the Rfam family "Bacterial small subunit ribosomal RNA", at positions 94 to 698 of the family's 1533-position model. The record is from RNAcentral.